Molecule: ribosomal RNA, 447 nt
Filed under: uncultured bacterium
Lineage: Bacteria
Description: bacterial SSU rRNA
Rfam family: Bacterial small subunit ribosomal RNA
Source: RNAcentral
UUCCAGACUCCUACGGGAGGCAGCAGUGGGGGAUAUUGCACAAUGGGGGGAACCCUGAUGCAGCGACGCCGCGUGGGUGAAGGAGUGCUUCGGCAUGUAAAGCCCUAUCGGCAGGGAAGAAGCAAGACGGUGCCUGACUAAGAAGCCCCGGCUAACUACGUGCCAGCAGCCGCGGUAAUACGUAGGGGGCAAGCGUUAUCCGGAUUUACUGGGUGUAAAGGGAGCGUAGACGGCAGUGCAAGUCUGGAGUGAAAGGCGGGGGCUCAACCCCCGGACUGCUCUGGAAACUGUACGGCUGGAGUGCAGGAGAGGUAAGUGGAAUUCCUAGUGUAGCGGUGAAAUGCGUAGAUAUCAGGAGGAACACCGGCGGCGAAGGCGGCCUGCUGGACCGUGACUGACGUUGAGGCUCGAGAGCGUGGGGAGCAAACAGGAUUAGAUACCCCGGUA